RNAcentral lists this non-coding RNA (24 nucleotides) under Arabidopsis thaliana (thale cress). The record is from RNAcentral. Lineage: Eukaryota; Viridiplantae; Streptophyta; Magnoliopsida; Brassicales; Brassicaceae.
AGGGAUUGACUAUGGAUCGGACUU